CGGACGAGGCCCGAGGGCCGAGCCAGAGGCUUUAGGGGGAGGACCUGGGAGCAGUCAGGACUCACGUGACCUUCCUGAUGGCUGAGGCCGUGUGCGUGUACCCUCCUAGCUGCUGUAUAGAACUCAGUAGUCUUAGGGGGUUUGAGCUGGCUGCAAAGGCUCUGAAAGUGAAGUGCUCCUUGAACUUGCUGGGAGACGAGCAGGAAGCAGAACCCGGUCAGGUGGAUGGCCUCACAUAGGCUCGUACUAUAGUCACACCGGUAGAGACCACCUGUUUGGUUGGCAGCCCUUACCUCCUGGGGGGCGCCAACCACCAGCCUGGCAGGGGGAGAAGACAAGAACACAGCAGCUAAGAGU
Molecule: long non-coding RNA, 357 nt
Filed under: Sus scrofa (pig)
Lineage: Eukaryota; Metazoa; Chordata; Mammalia; Artiodactyla; Suidae
Description: lncRNA (ENSSSCG00040011220.1)
Source: RNAcentral